UUAAAUUGAAGAGUUUGAUCAUGGCUCAGAUUGAACGCUGGCGGCAGGCCUAACACAUGCAAGUCGAACGGUAACAGGAAACAGCUUGCUGUUUCGCUGACGAGUGGCGGACGGGUGAGUAAUGUCUGGGAAACUGCCUGAUGGAGGGGGAUAACUACUGGAAACGGUAGCUAAUACCGCAUAACGUCGCAAGACCAAAGAGGGGGACCUUCGGGCCUCUUGCCAUCGGAUGUGCCCAGAUGGGAUUAGCUAGUAGGUGGGGUAACGGCUCACCUAGGCGACGAUCCCUAGCUGGUCUGAGAGGAUGACCAGCCACACUGGAACUGAGACACGGUCCAGACUCCUACGGGAGGCAGC
RNAcentral lists this ribosomal RNA (357 nucleotides) under Escherichia coli. RNAcentral's name for it is "bacterial SSU rRNA". It matches the Rfam family "Bacterial small subunit ribosomal RNA", at positions 1 to 352 of the family's 1533-position model. The record is from RNAcentral. Lineage: Bacteria; Pseudomonadati; Pseudomonadota; Gammaproteobacteria; Enterobacterales; Enterobacteriaceae.